AUGCACGCUGGCGGCGUGCCUUAUACAUGCAAGUCGAGCGAACAGACGAGGAGCUUGCUCCUCUGACGUUAGCGGCGGACGGGUGAGAAACACGUGGUUAACCUACCUAUAAGACUGGGAUAACUUCGGGAAACCGGAGCUAAUACCGGAUAAUAUAUUGAACCGCAUGGUUCAAUAGUGAAAGACGGUUUUGCUGUCACUUAUAGAUGGAUCCGCGCCGCAUUAGCUAGUUGGUAAGGUAACGGCUUACCAAGGCAACGAUGCGUAGCCGACCUGAGAGGGUGGUCGGCCACACUGGAGCUGAGACACGGUCCAGACUCCUACGGGAGGCAGCAGUAGGGAAUCUGCCGCAAUGGGCGAAAGCCUGACGGAGCGACGCCGCGUGAGUGAUGAAGGUCUUCGGAUCGUAAAGCUCUGUUAUUAGGGAAGAACAAAUGUGUAAGUAACUAUGCACGUCUUGACGGUACCUAAUCAGAAAGCCACGGCUAACUACGUG
This 496-nucleotide ribosomal RNA is filed under the name uncultured bacterium. RNAcentral's name for it is "partial 16S ribosomal RNA". It matches the Rfam family "Bacterial small subunit ribosomal RNA", at positions 29 to 507 of the family's 1533-position model. The record is from RNAcentral.